GCGGGUAUCGUAUAGCGGCUAUUAUGUCACCUUGCCAUGGUGAAGAUGCGGGUUCGACUCCCGCUACCCGCUCCA
RNAcentral lists this transfer RNA (75 nucleotides) under Candidatus Uhrbacteria bacterium RIFCSPHIGHO2_02_FULL_60_10. Its description in RNAcentral is "tRNA-Gly". It matches the Rfam family "tRNA". From Rfam's summary of the family: Transfer RNA (tRNA) molecules are approximately 80 nucleotides in length. Their secondary structure includes four short double-helical elements and three loops (D, anti-codon, and T loops). Further hydrogen bonds mediate the characteristic L-shaped molecular structure. tRNAs have two regions of fundamental functional importance: the anti-codon, which is responsible for specific mRNA codon recognition, and the 3' end, to which the tRNAs corresponding amino acid is attached (by aminoacyl-tRNA synthetases). tRNAs cope with the degeneracy of the genetic code in two manners: having more than one tRNA (with a specific anti-codon) for a particular amino acid; and 'wobble' base-pairing, i.e. permitting non-standard base-pairing at the 3rd anti-codon position. Lineage: Bacteria; Candidatus Uhriibacteriota. RNAcentral also lists the same sequence under 1 other name. The record is from RNAcentral.